GCUUGGCGGGUGCUACCAUGCAAGUCGAACGUGAUCCGCCCUUCGGGGUGGUGAAAGUGGCGCACGGGUGAGUAACGCGUGGAUAAUCUGCCCGAGGAUUUGGGAUAACAUCUCGAAAGGGGUGCUAAUACCGAAUAAGCCCACGGGGUCUACGGAUCUUGCGGGAAAAGGGGGGGACCUUCGGGCCUCCUGUCCUUGGAUGAGUCUGCGUACCAUUAGCUAGUUGGUGGGGUAAUGGCCUACCAAGGCGACGAUGGUUAGCUGGUCUGAGAGGAUGAUCAGCCACACUGGAACUGAGACACGGUCCAGACUCCUACGGGAGGCAGCAGUGGGGAAUUUUGCGCAAUGGGGGAAACCCUGACGCAGCAACGCCGCGUGGGUGAUGAAGGCCUUCGGGUCGUAAAGCUCUGUCUGGAGGGAAGAAAUGAUUGGGAGCUAAUACCUCUUGAUCUUGACGGUACCUCUGAAGGAAGCACCGGCUAACUCCGUGCCAGCAGCCGCGGUAAUACGGAGGGUGCAAGCGUUGUUCGGAAUUAUUGGGCGUAAAGCGCGUGUAGGCGGUCUUUUAAGUCUGAUGUGAAAGCCCCGGGCUCAACCUGGGAAGUGCAUUGGAAACUGGGAGGCUUGAGUACGGGAGAGGAGAGUGGAAUUCCUAGUGUAGGAGUGAAAUCCGUAGAUAUUAGGAGGAACACCGGUGGCGAAGGCGGCUCUCUGGACCGAUACUGACGCUGAGACGCGAAAGCGUGGGUAGCAAACAGGAUUAGAUACCCUGGUAGUCCACGCCGUAGACGAUGAGUACUAGUGUUGCGGUAUUGACCCC
RNAcentral lists this ribosomal RNA (820 nucleotides) under uncultured Geobacter sp. RNAcentral describes it as "bacterial SSU rRNA". It matches the Rfam family "Bacterial small subunit ribosomal RNA", at positions 35 to 840 of the family's 1533-position model. Lineage: Bacteria; Pseudomonadati; Thermodesulfobacteriota; Desulfuromonadia; Geobacterales; Geobacteraceae. The record is from RNAcentral.